Procambarus clarkii (red swamp crayfish) is the source of this 495-nucleotide non-coding RNA. The record is from RefSeq and is a predicted model, not a curated record. Lineage: Eukaryota; Metazoa; Arthropoda; Malacostraca; Decapoda; Cambaridae.
UGAUGACGUCACGGCUCCCACUCUCCUCUCUCUCCCUCUCACUAUAUAUCCAGGUGCGUCUUGGCGUGUCCACAGAGCCAGUUGAGAACUUUCUCUUGGAGGCGUCCGAGGUGGGUUAGUGUAGUGUUGCUGUGUGUGUUGGGAGGACGGGGUCGGGACGGCUACCUCGCAGUACUCCUCUACCUCUGCUACUUGGGACCACUCUCGCUUUUGUUUUAGAAAGUAAAGAUGUGGAGGAGAGCGUGGUGGAUGUUGGCGUUGGUGGUGGCCAUGGCCACGGUGGCCAGAGCUGAGGACCAGGCCGCCAGUGACGAUGGCAACAGCUUAGAUGAUCCUUCAGAAGAUUUGGUUGAAGCUGCAGUAUCAGAAUCAACAGAACGAGGAACAACAGAAGCAGCAGCAACAGAACUGGAAGCAACAGAAGCAGCUGCAACAACAACAACAACAGCAGCAGAUUCAGCUGCUGCCGGCUUAUUUGGUCCACAACUACGUAAU